Molecule: ribosomal RNA, 1308 nt
Filed under: metagenome
Description: bacterial SSU rRNA
Rfam family: Bacterial small subunit ribosomal RNA
Source: RNAcentral
UUCCAAAGGCGGUCCUGCCGCCGCAAGAGGAUGGGGCUGCGUCCUAUUAGCUAGUUGGUGAGGUAACGGCCCACCAAGGCUUCGAUGGGUAGCUGGUCUGAGAGGACGACCAGCCACAUUGGGACUGAGAUACGGCCCAGACUCCUACGGGAGGCAGCAGUGGGGAAUCUUGGCCAAUGGACGAAAGUCUGAGCCAGCGACACCGCGUGGGGGAUGACGGCCUUCGGGUUGUAAACCUCUUUUCUGGGGAAAGAAUAAGGACGGGAGGAAAUGCCCGCCCGAUGACGGUACUCCAGGAAUAAGCAUCGGCUAACUCUGUGCCAGCAGCCGCGGUAAGACAGAGGAUGCGAGCGUUAUCCGGAAUUACUGGGCGUAAAGGGCGUCUAGGCGGUUCGGUAAGUCGUUUGUGAAAUCCCUCGGCUCAACCGAGGAGGGCCUUGCGAUACUGCCGAGCUUGGGUGCAGGAGAGGAGGGUGAACUCACAGAGUAGCGGUGGAAUGCGUAGAUACUGUGAGGUACCCCGAUGGCGAAGGCAACCCUCUGGCCUGCUACCGACGCUGAAGCGCGAAAGCGUGGGGAGCAAAGGGGAUUAGAUACCCCCGUAGUCCACGCCCUAAACAAUGUUCACUUGGUGUCGGCCGCUCAUACUGGUCGGUGCCGAAGCUAACGCGUUAAGUGAACCGCCUGAGGAGUACGGCCGCAAGGCUAAAACUCAAGAGAAUUGACGGGUCCCUGCACAAGCGGUGGAGCACGUGGUUUAAUUCGAUGAUAAACGAAGAACCUCACCCAGGCUUGACAUACUAGUGGUAGGAACCUGAAAGGGGGACGACCCUGCCUUCGGGUAGGGAGCUAGUACAGGUGAUGCAUGGCUGUCGUCAGCUCGUGUCGUGGGAUGUUGGGUUCAGUCCCGAAACGAGCGCAACCCUUGUCGUUAGUUGCCAGCGGGUAAUGCCGGGGACUCUAACGAGACUGCUGGUGAAUAGCCGGAGGAAGGCGGGGAUGACGUCAAGUCAUCAUGUCCCUUACGCCUGGGGCGACACACAUGCUACAAUGGGGGGUACAGAGGGUCGCAAUCCCGUAAGGGGGAGCCAAUCCAUAAAAGCCCCUCUCAGUUCGGAUUGAGGUCUGCAACUCGACCUCAUGAAGGUGGAAUCGCUAGUAAUCGCGGGUCAGCCAUACCGCGGUGAAUAUGUACUCAGGGAUUGUACACACCGCCCGUCACACCAACCGAGUGGGGGGUACCUGAAGUCGCUCUUCUAAGGGCGCCUAAGGUAACUUCCGCAAGAGGGGUGAAGUCGUAACAAGGUA